This 211-nucleotide unclassified non-coding RNA is filed under the name uncultured fungus. RNAcentral describes it as "sequence contains ITS1". Lineage: Eukaryota; Fungi. The record is from RNAcentral.
GUCUCUCGCUCUUCCCACCACCACUGACUAUGACAAACCGUCCACGCGCAAAUGUCCGUGGCACACUGCCGCGCUGCUGCCGCCACUGCUGCGCCGCAAACACAGCACAGCACGCAGCACAGCACCGCCGCAGCCCACGACCAAAUGUCCACGCGCCUCGCGGCACGCAGCCCCACUCGCAAUGAUCCUUCCGCAGGUUCACCUACGGAAA